This 388-nucleotide ribosomal RNA is filed under the name uncultured bacterium. Its description in RNAcentral is "bacterial SSU rRNA". It matches the Rfam family "Bacterial small subunit ribosomal RNA", at positions 388 to 793 of the family's 1533-position model. The record is from RNAcentral.
CCAGCGACGCCGCGUGAGGGAAGAAGGUUUUCGGAUUGUAAACCUCUGUCAGUGGGGACGAUAAUGACGGUACNCACGGAGGAAGCCACGGCUAACUACGUGCCAGCAGCCGCGGUAAUACGUAGGUGGCAAGCGUUGUCCGGAAUUACUGGGUGUAAAGGGAGCGUAGGCGGGAUGUCAAGUCAGAAGUGAAAAUUAUGGGCUCAACUCAUAACCUGCUUUUGAAACUGAUAUUCUUGAGUGAAGUAGAGGCAAGCGGAAUUCCUAGUGUAGCGGUGAAAUGCGUAGAUAUUAGGAGGAACACCAGUGGCGAAGGCGGCUUGCUGGGCUUUUACUGACGCUGAGGCUCGAAAGCGUGGGGAGCAAACAGGAUUAGAUACCCUGGUAG